AGUGAACGCUGGCCGUAGGCCUAACACAUGCAAGUCGAACGGCAGCACAGUAAGAGCUUGCUCUUACGGGUGGCGAGUGGCGGACGGGUGAGGAAUACAUCGGAAUCUACUUUUUCGUGGGGGAUAACGUAGGGAAACUUACGCUAAUACCGCAUACGACCUACGGGUGAAAGCAGGGGAUCUUCGGACCUUGCGCGAUUGAAUGAGCCGAUGUCGGAUUAGCUAGUUGGCGGGGUAAAGGCCCACCAAGGCGACGAUCCGUAGCUGGUCUGAGAGGAUGAUCAGCCACACUGGAACUGAGACACGGUCCAGACUCCUACGGGAGGCAGCAGUGGGGAAUAUUGGACAAUGGGCGCAAGCCUGAUCCAGCCAUACCGCGUGGGUGAAGAAGGCCUUCGGGUUGUAAAGCCCUUUUGUUGGGAAAGAAAAGCAGCAGGUUAAUACCCCGCUGUUCUGACGGUACCCAAAGAAUAAGCACCGGCUAACUUCGU
This 491-nucleotide ribosomal RNA is filed under the name uncultured bacterium. RNAcentral describes it as "partial 16S ribosomal RNA". It matches the Rfam family "Bacterial small subunit ribosomal RNA", at positions 29 to 506 of the family's 1533-position model. The record is from RNAcentral.